RNAcentral lists this ribosomal RNA (490 nucleotides) under uncultured bacterium. Its description in RNAcentral is "partial 16S ribosomal RNA". It matches the Rfam family "Bacterial small subunit ribosomal RNA", at positions 30 to 507 of the family's 1533-position model. The record is from RNAcentral.
AUUGAACGCUGGCGGCAGGCCUAACACAUGCAAGUCGAACGGUAACAGGAAGCAGCUUGCUGCUUCGCUGACGAGUGGCGGACGGGUGAGUAAUGUCUGGGAAGCUGCCUGAUGGAGGGGGAUAACUACUGGAAACGGUAGCUAAUACCGCAUAAUGUCGCAAGACCAAAGAGGGGGACCUUCGGGCCUCUUGCCAUCGGAUGUGCCCAGAUGGGAUUAGCUUGUUGGUGGGGUAACGGCUCACCAAGGCGACGAUCCCUAGCUGGUCUGAGAGGAUGACCAGCCACACUGGAACUGAGACACGGUCCAGACUCCUACGGGAGGCAGCAGUGGGGAAUAUUGCACAAUGGGCGCAAGCCUGAUGCAGCCAUGCCGCGUGUAUGAAGAAGGCCUUCGGGUUGUAAAGUACUUUCAGCGGGGAGGAAGGGAGUAAAGUUAAUACCUUUGCUCAUUGACGUUACUCGCAGAAGAAGCACCGGCUAACUCCGUG